RNAcentral lists this ribosomal RNA (253 nucleotides) under uncultured bacterium. RNAcentral's name for it is "partial 16S ribosomal RNA". It matches the Rfam family "Bacterial small subunit ribosomal RNA", at positions 524 to 776 of the family's 1533-position model. The record is from RNAcentral.
UACGGGGGGGGCAAGCGUUGUUCGGAAUUACUGGGCGUAAAGGGCGCGUAGGCGGUCUGUUAAGUUGGAUGUGAAAACUCUGGGCUUAACCCAGAGCCUGCAUCCAAAACUAGCAGGCUAGAGUUCUGGAGGGGAUAGCGGAAUUCCUGGUGUAGCGGUGAAAUGCGUAGAUAUCAGGAGGAACACCGGUGGCGAAGGCGGCUAUCUGGACAGAAACUGACGCUGAGGCGCGAAAGCUAGGGGAGCAAACAGG